GCUUAUACUCGACCGUCAGCGGCAAGAGCGACGGCGCCGCGCGCGUUCGCGCGCGCGCGCGCGCCGUCACCAAGCCCUGACGAGUAGGAGGGUCGCGGCGGUGAGCGCAGAAGGGCUGGCCGCGAGGCCGUCUGGAGCCGCCGUCGGUGCAGAUCUUGGUGGUAGUAGCAAAUACUCCAGCGAGGCCCUGGAGGACUGACGUGGAGAAGGGUUUCGUGUGAACAGCCGUUGCACACGAGUCAGUCGAUCCUAAGCCCUAGGCGAAAGCCGAUGUCGAUGCGGUGUAGAUUAAUAUAAUUCAAUAUAUAAUUUAAUUAAUUCGUACACACCCGUCGGGCGAAAGGGAAUCCGGUUCCUAUUCCGGAACCUGGCAGCGGAACCGUUAAUAAGUCGGGC
Molecule: ribosomal RNA, 396 nt
Filed under: Onyxacalles verrucosus
Lineage: Eukaryota; Metazoa; Arthropoda; Insecta; Coleoptera; Curculionidae
Description: eukaryotic LSU rRNA
Rfam family: Eukaryotic large subunit ribosomal RNA
Source: RNAcentral